CCCCCCUCAAGGUGGAGGGGAGAGAAUGGACCCCCAGCUUGGACAAAAAUCUCCGAUGAGAACCCCCAGAUAAGGGUUUGGUAAAUAGAUCGGCGAGCUGAGAUUCUGACGGAACAAAUGAGAGAGAGAUCAAUCCGGACAGAAAUUGUUGACGAACAAAGUGACAAUCCAACUCCACAUGUUUGGUUCGUUCAUGAAAAACUGGGUUACGAGCUAUGUGAAUGGCGGCUUGGCUAUCCGAGUGUACAUGCACUGGUAAAGUGGGUGGUGCUGAUAGAUCUGCAAGCAAUCAGACUAACCAGGUGAUUUCUGCGGUCACCCUUCUCAUAGAUCUGUAUUCCGCUUCUGCGGAGGACAUAGAGACUGAGAUUUGUUUCUUCGACUUCCAAGAGAUCGGAGCUCCACCAAGUGUGAUGAAGAAUCCACUAACAGACCGGCGAGAAUCUCUACAAGCCGCCCAGUCUGCAUCACAAAAAGCGAGUAGAUCAAAGGAGGGAUGUGCAGUAAGAAAGAUCCCUUGAGAAGGGUCAGUGCGCAAAUAGCGGAGGACACGCAAAGCUGCAGAAUAAUGAGACAUGCAAGGGCGUUGCAUAUACUGGCUCAAACAGAGGACAGCGAAACAGAGGUCCGGCCUAGUAUUUGUUAAGUAGUUGAGCUUUCCAACGAGAUGGCGAUAAAUGGUAGGAUCAGGCAUAGGC
RNAcentral lists this long non-coding RNA (698 nucleotides) under Nicotiana tabacum (common tobacco). Its description in RNAcentral is "long non-coding RNA (NTAB_LNC017319)". The record is from RNAcentral. Lineage: Eukaryota; Viridiplantae; Streptophyta; Magnoliopsida; Solanales; Solanaceae.